UACGUAGGUGGCAAGCGUUGCCCGGAUUUACUGGGCGUAAAGAGCGCGCAGGCGGUCGCUCAAGUCGCGUGUGAAAGCCCCCGGCUCAACUGGGGAGGGUCACGCGAUACUGAUCGACUCGAAGGCAGGAGAGGGUAGUGGAAUUCCCGGUGUAGUGGUGAAAUGCGUAGAUAUCGGGAGGAACACCAGUGGCGAAGGCGACUACCUGGCCUGUUUCUUGACGCUGAGGCGCGAAAGCUAGGGGAGCAAACGGG
Molecule: ribosomal RNA, 254 nt
Filed under: uncultured bacterium
Lineage: Bacteria
Description: partial 16S ribosomal RNA
Rfam family: Bacterial small subunit ribosomal RNA
Source: RNAcentral